UUUUAGAAAAGCCAGAGAUGAGGUCUUGAUUUUACUAUCAAUAGAAUUCUAUAUUUUAGGCCCUUGAAAUCUAAUAUUAAACAUACCAUAAUUUGUUCUUGGUUUAGGAAGAGAAUAAGAUUGGUUAGAUGAUAACCUUGUAUUAUAAUAAUGUAAUUGGUCAACAGGCACAAAAAAGAGGUUAAAUGUAGAAGGCAGGAGAGAGUUGUGAAACUUAAACAUAAGAACAGCAGUGCAAAUAUUGACUAGAUCUUGUAAUUUGAUGAGAUUUAAAUAUUUACAGAGAGGACUACUAUGGUCACAGUAGGAUGAGAAUGUGAUGAUUCGUAUGGCACGUUUUUGUAGUACAAUUAAAGGAUUUAUAACUGUUUUGUAAGUACGCCCCCAUGCAAUUAAAGAGUAGGUAAAGCAAGGAUAAACUAGAGCAUAAUAUAAGCUAACAAGAGUUGCUUGAUCAACAAAAUAUCUUACUUUAGAAAGCAGUCCAACAUUUUUUAAAAUCUUUUUCGUUAAAUAAUUAACAUGUUCUUUCCA
This is a non-coding RNA of Paramuricea clavata, 534 nucleotides long. NCBI's taxonomy places the organism in Eukaryota, Metazoa, Cnidaria, Anthozoa, Malacalcyonacea, Plexauridae. The record is from the annotation of a GenBank genome assembly.